Molecule: RNA transcript, 2208 nt
Organism: Zingiber officinale
Lineage: Eukaryota; Viridiplantae; Streptophyta; Magnoliopsida; Zingiberales; Zingiberaceae
Gene name: serine/threonine-protein kinase tricornered-like
Exons: 13
Source: RefSeq, a predicted model, not a curated record
AUUUAUUUGAGGAGGAAGGGCGAGAUCGGGGGAGGGAGAGAGAGAGAGAGAGAGCUCGAAGAAGGGGAAGAAAGAUGGAGAUGGAAGGAGAGGGGAGGGAGAAGGGACGGGAGUCGGCGGUGGGGGAGCUGGCGGCGGUGGCGGAGGAAGGGGAGGAGGAGAUGGAGGAGACGGUGGGUUCGAGCUUGACGAUGGAGCGGGUGGCCGCCGCAAAGCAGUUCAUUGAGAAUCACUACAAGAAUCAGAUGAAGAACAUACAGGAGAGGAAAGAAAGGCGUUGGUUCUUGGAGAGAAAAUUGGCUUCUUCACAAGUUUCCAAGGAGGAACAACUCAAUUUAUUGAAGGAUCUUGAGAGAAAGGAGACAGAAUAUAUGAGACUUAAAAGGCACAAGAUCUGUGUCGAUGAUUUUGAGCUGUUGACAAUAAUUGGAAGAGGUGCUUUUGGGGAGGUCAGGCUUUGCCGGGAGAAGUCAUCUUGCAAUAUUUAUGCCAUGAAGAAGUUGAAGAAAUCGGAAAUGGUUAGCAGGGGCCAGGUGGAACAUGUAAGAGCUGAAAGAAACUUGCUUGCUGAAGUUGCUAGCCAUUACAUUGUAAAACUAUACUAUUCAUUUCAAGAUGAUGAAUACCUUUACCUAAUCAUGGAAUAUCUUCCUGGAGGGGACAUGAUGACCCUACUUAUUAGAGAAGAUACCCUUACUGAAACUGUUGCUAGGUUUUAUAUUGCUCAGAGCGUGUUGGCGAUUGAAUCCAUUCAUAAACAUAAUUAUAUUCACAGGGACAUAAAGCCGGACAACCUUCUGUUGGACAAAAAUGGUCACAUGAAGCUGUCAGACUUUGGCUUGUGUAAGCCAAUUGAUUAUUCAAAGCUUUCAACAUUGAAGGAAGACGAACCCAUGCCUGAUGAAAAUAUUCGGGAAUCAAUGGAUAUAGAUGGGUUUUCAGAUAAAAAUAAUGAUAAUAUAUGGAAAAGCCCUCAAGAACAGCUACAACAUUGGCAAAUGAACAGAAGGAAGCUGGCAUUUUCUACAGUUGGAACACCAGACUAUAUUGCUCCUGAAGUAUUAUUGAAAAAAGGAUAUGGCAUGGAGUGUGAUUGGUGGUCAUUGGGUGCAAUAAUGUAUGAAAUGCUUGUCGGUUAUCCACCAUUCUAUUCUGAUGAUCCAAUAACUACUUGCCGAAAGAUUGUGCAUUGGCGAAAUCAACUCAAAUUUCCUGAAGAUUCAAGGUUGUCUCCAGAGGCAAAAGAUCUUAUUUGUAGAUUGUUAUGUGAUGUUGAGCACAGAUUUGGCAGUGGAGGGGCAGAUCAAAUAAAGGCUCAUCCUUGGUUCAAAGAUGUCGUUUGGGAUAAACUUUAUGAAAUGGAUGCGGCAUUUAAGCCUGAAGUUAAUGGCGAAUUAGAUACUCAGAACUUCUUGAAGUUCGAUGAAUUGGACCCCACUCCAUCAAGAACGGGAUCUGGGCCUUUAAGAAAGAAAUUGCUAAAUCCUCAAGAUUUGAGUUUUGUCGGAUAUACAUACAAGAACUUUGAUGCUGUCAAAGGGCUGAUCCAAUCUCAUGUUAGCUUGUGUACUUGUGGUGGUACCAAGAUUAUUUUGAAAGACAUUAGAAAGAUGUCCUAGAAGGGGAGCCUUGUGCAACGGUAAAGUUGCCUCUGUGUGACCUAGAGGAGCCUCGGAAAUAGCUUCUUGCAAAGCAAGGUGAUGGUGGAAGGAAAUCAACUGGAGGAAGUGGUGACGUGGACAUGGUUUGUUCAGGCAACACAAUGGCCCCUUAAGUCUGGCCGAUUCACCAGUGAAUUCAUCUAAGAUUAGUGCCCUACAAAUGUGGAUGUUGGACUUGCCUGCUCAUUUUUAGUCAGGUUUGUCCAAAUCCCAUGGUCCUGAUGAGCUACCGACUUCACAUUUAAUAGAACUAAACCAUAUGUAAGUUGUAUAGUAGUGUGUUAACGAUGUCUAUUAAAGGCAUAUGAGCUGUGGUUAUUAUGGUCUGGCACCGGAGUCAGCUAUGUGGGCGCAUUCAUCCUUGAUGCCUGGGGUUGGCAGAACAAACUAUUUCUACCCUUGUGGCAGUUUCUAAUUAUGAUGCAAAUUCAACUUUUUUGUGGACGCUACAGAUUUAGCAAUGUUUGAUGUGAGAGGAACUGUCUAAAUUGUGUUUCCUUGAACCAAUAUUGAUCAAUCAAUUUUGCCUAGUACAAGUUUUUGUUUA